Molecule: non-coding RNA, 84 nt
Organism: Plenodomus tracheiphilus IPT5
Lineage: Eukaryota; Fungi; Ascomycota; Dothideomycetes; Pleosporales; Leptosphaeriaceae
Source: the annotation of a GenBank genome assembly
GGCCGGAUGGCGCAAUGGUAGCGCGCAGCCCUCCUACUGACAGGUGGAAGGCUGAGGCUGAGGGUUCGAGUCCCUCUUCGGUCG